This 821-nucleotide long non-coding RNA is filed under the name Olea europaea subsp. europaea. Lineage: Eukaryota; Viridiplantae; Streptophyta; Magnoliopsida; Lamiales; Oleaceae. The record is from RNAcentral.
CUUUCAGUAAUAGAAUCAUUCUACAACUCCCCCACCAACACCUAUAAAUACUUGGCCAAGGCUCAACAUCAAGGUACGUUUUUCAUUAUCUUCAGUUUAUAGCCUCACACACUAAAUUCCCUAUCUGACUUAAGUAUCAGAGGGGCGACGAGCACACACCUCGUUGCCGUUGUUGCAGAUAUUCACAUAUUGGUCAUGUUCAUCAAAGUGAAGUUCGACCAUCGAGCUGAAGAUCUUUCAGGUGAUAUUUUUUUGUAGCAUCAACUACCUUUGCAUCUUCCUCUUAAUCUCUCUCGAUUGAAUGGGGUGUUUUUUGGUUUUGAACUCAAGCUCUUUGUCUUUGGACAGCAUCAACUACUACUGGAGCAUCAAGGACUUAGGCGCAUCACUACUGACCUAGACUUAGAACUGGUCAUCAAAUUGGCUAAGCAAAGUUCAAGGCGACAUGUGGUCAUCUUGAGCUGUGACAAAGGAACAUUCCAGUUAAAACUGGAGUUCGAAGAUGGAGCAGACGACGGCAUUUGGUCGAGGAAACCAUCAUGAGACACGUCGGACUGAAGUGGGAUAACAUCUAAUGUUUUGAUGAUUAUUCAUUUUCUUGGAGUGAUUGUUCUUGGUUUAACAAAGAAUUGAUAUUCAUGGCUUCCAAUUCUCUACCACACAUCCAAUCUGCAGAUGUUUUGAUUUGUAGAGAGUUGGUAGUGGUAUUUUGGGUAGGGUGAGGUGUGGACGAUUCUAAUUAUUUGAUUUGGUUAUGCUCAUGGUGGUACGACGGUGACGGUGGUUGAUGGGGAUGGAAAAUUUCUUGUUUUGGAAUGAGG